GGGCUGAGUGAUUAGAGCUCUUAAAUUUUGUAGUAUGAAUAUGAUUUGGAGAUUUUGGAUGUCAAUCAAAAUGUGUUAGAAUUGUUACUGUUGGCGGGUAGUUAGAGUCCAAUUGUGAACCCAUGUUUGGAUGUUAUAUUGUUGUUCUGCUUUGAAUUGGAACUAAGUUGAAGAGCUUGGAUGGUCAUAAGGUGGAAUUGGUUUGGUCUUUAAUUUAAAAUGUGAAUUAUGUUAGUUAGCAAAAUUUGUUUUUCUAUUAGUGAAGUGAAUCAUGUUACAUUAAGUUAGUUACUGAAGAUGGCUUUGUUAAUUGUUACCUAACCAUUGCCUUGUUAUGAAACAAAAUUUCCUUGACUUAUUGGAUUGUUGAUCGAACUGUCAUCGGUUUUUAUGCCGACAUUUGGUUGAAUUCAAGUGGGGAUAUGCUCUGCAGGUUUGUUACAUAGUUUGACAUAUGCUUGAAAUGCACUUCCACGAAGCAGCAGUCACAAGUAUGAUGGCUUGUUUGGAACGUGUCAUUGGCACUUGGAUCGCAUAGAAGAUUUGAACUCCACCGAGCUGUUUUGGACUUAGAUUAAAUGAUUGUAAUGAAAUAAUUUGGAUGUAUUUAUGUAUGUUAGAUGAUGAAUUGGAAUGUUAGAAAUGGUUGUUAUGCGAAGUUGCCGUCACGGACUUGCUUGAAUCUUGAGAUGACUAUGUACAUAUGCUUUAGAAAUUAGUAAAAUGUGAGAAAUGGUUUUGAAUGGUUUAUGAUGUAAUGGAGUUUGGGAAUGAAUUUGGUUUUUGUA
Lathyrus oleraceus (garden pea) is the source of this 788-nucleotide long non-coding RNA. RefSeq lists it as uncharacterized. The record is from RefSeq and is a predicted model, not a curated record. The transcript is spliced from 2 exons. Lineage: Eukaryota; Viridiplantae; Streptophyta; Magnoliopsida; Fabales; Fabaceae.